CCUACGGGAGGCAGCAGUGAGGAAUAUUGGUCAAUGGACGCAAGUCUGAACCAGCCAUGCCGCGUGCAGGAAGACGGCUCUAUGAGUUGUAAACUGCUUUUGUACGAGGGUAAACGCAGAUACGCGUCUCUGUCUGAAAGUAUCGUACGAAUAAGGAUCGGCUAACUCCGUGCCCGCAGCCGCGUUAAUACGGAGGAUUCAAGCGUUAUCCGGAUUUAUUGGGUUUAAAGGGUGCGUAGGCGGUCGGAUAAGGUAGGGGUGAAAUCCCGAGGCUCAACUUCGGAAUUGCCUCUGAUACUGGUCGGCUAGAGAGUAGUUGCGGUAGGCGGAAUGUAUGGUGUAGCGGUGAAAUGCUUAGAGAUCAUACAGAACACCGAGUGCGAAGGCAGCUUACCAAGCUACUUCUGACGUUGAGGCACGAAAGCGUGGGGAGCAAACAGGAUUAGAUACCCUGGUAGUC
Molecule: ribosomal RNA, 460 nt
Filed under: uncultured bacterium
Lineage: Bacteria
Description: partial 16S ribosomal RNA
Rfam family: Bacterial small subunit ribosomal RNA
Source: RNAcentral